Non-coding RNA from Nylanderia fulva, 509 nucleotides. The record is from RefSeq and is a predicted model, not a curated record. NCBI's taxonomy places the organism in Eukaryota, Metazoa, Arthropoda, Insecta, Hymenoptera, Formicidae.
GCCAUAUUGAUAUAAAAGUUUGUCUUGUGAAAUACACGAUGUGCAGUAUUCCUGUAUGAUGUUUUCAAAUACACAUUUGCAUUGAAACUUGAAGCAGUUUUAUUUUAAGGACGCUACUGAGAAACAUAAUAAGUUUUAAAUUCUGGAAAGAUAUUUGCAUUUUUGAGCAUACGGCAUUUUCCGGGACCGCUAAACUUUUUAUAAGAUUAAAACGAUUUAAAUUGUAUCUUCAGCUAUAAUGCAUUAAUUUUGGUUUGAAUGUCCACACACAUCAAUGCAUUAAUGGUUGAAAUAAUAAUUCUAUUUUAAAAAGGGCUUUUGGUUUUCACACCCACAUUUGCGUUGAGACUACUGCGAGAGAGAAGUAGGUUUAUUUUAAGAAGGCUUCUGUUUUAAUUGCUACUUUAAAAGAUCAUAUUCACAUUAUAAUUACAUGUUGCGAUCUGAUAUUUGGAUUAAAGGUAUGUAAAUUAUGUCUUUGUAUAUAACAAUAAAAUCAGUAAUUUUGG